UACGUAGGGGGCUAGCGUUGUCCGGAAUCAUUGGGCGUAAAGCGCGUGUAGGCGGUCCGGUAAGUCCGCUGUGAAAGUCGGGGGCUCAACCCUCGGAUGCCGGUGGAUACCGUCGGGCUUGAGUACGGAAGAGGCGAGUGGAAUUCCUGGUGUAGCGGUGAAAUGCGCAGAUAUCAGGAGGAACACCAAUUGCGAAGGCAGCUCGCUGGGACGUUACUGACGCUGAGACGCGAAAGCGUGGGGAGCAAACAGG
RNAcentral lists this ribosomal RNA (253 nucleotides) under uncultured bacterium. Its description in RNAcentral is "partial 16S ribosomal RNA". It matches the Rfam family "Bacterial small subunit ribosomal RNA", at positions 524 to 776 of the family's 1533-position model. The record is from RNAcentral.